AGUGAACGCUGGCGGUAGGCCUAACACAUGCAAGUCGAACGGCAGCACAGUAAGAGCUUGCUCUUACGGGUGGCGAGUGGCGGACGGGUGAGGAAUACAUCGGAAUCUACUUUUUCGUGGGGGAUAACGUAGGGAAACUUACGCUAAUACCGCAUACGACCUACGGGUGAAAGCAGGGGAUCUUCGGACCUUGCGCGAUUGAAUGAGCCGAUGUCGGAUUAGCUAGUUGGCGGGGUAAAGGCCCACCAAGGCGACGAUCCGUAGCUGGUCUGAGAGGAUGAUCCGCCACACUGGAACUGAGACACGGUGCAGACUCCUACGGGAGGCAGCCGUGGGGAAUAUUGGACAAUGGGCGCAAGCCUGAUCCAGCCAUACCGCGUGGGUGAAGAAGGCCUUCGGGUUGUAAAGCCCUUUUGUUGGGAAAGAAAAGCAGCAGGUUAAUACCCCGCUGUUCUGACGGUACCCAAAGAAUAAGCACCGGCUAACUUCGUG
This 492-nucleotide ribosomal RNA is filed under the name uncultured bacterium. Its description in RNAcentral is "partial 16S ribosomal RNA". It matches the Rfam family "Bacterial small subunit ribosomal RNA", at positions 29 to 507 of the family's 1533-position model. The record is from RNAcentral.